RNAcentral lists this long non-coding RNA (1892 nucleotides) under Stylophora pistillata. RNAcentral describes it as "uncharacterized LOC111345464, transcript variant X1". Lineage: Eukaryota; Metazoa; Cnidaria; Anthozoa; Scleractinia; Pocilloporidae. The record is from RNAcentral.
AAGAAUCGUCAUUUCGCUUCGGAGUUGUCUGAGAGAAUUUCUCUUAGCGUGAGACCUUUUGUUGAGGUUAUUCUAUGAUUCGACUCGGAAAAUGGACAGCUUUCCCCCUCCAGAUAAAAAGAAACGUACGAAAAUCAACAAACGUGCAAAUGCACGGCGAGAUCCAGCGGAACGAAACCCACACUUCAGUCUGACAAUUGAAGUUAAAAAAGGAUCAGCAAAGUCGUUUGGAGGCUAUCAAACAAAGGAUAAGCAACGCUAAAUCGGCUCUUGGUAUAGGUAGACAGACUUCUACCAUGCAAAAUGCUGAUUUAAUGGAGAGACUUCUCUCGUAUUUUGAAAUGAUUUGUUCAUUAGCUGUGGAAAGUAGGUCUUCAUCCAUCACCAAGACUGAUGUGCUCGAAGGACCGAGAAUCCAUUGUGUGAAUUUUGUGGCGAAGAUUACAAAUAGGCUUCAGCUAGUUUUUCAAGUCAAGGGCACGUUUGUAAGAUUGAAGUUCCCUGUGUGCGUAAUGACUCAGUUACUUGGCUCAGUUCUGGAGUUUUCGACACCCUGCAAAGUACUACGCCAUUGUUAGAAUGGUUCCUGCAUUCACAUGUACUGGACUUACUGAAACUCAGUAGUUCAGGAAUUGUGCAACAAAAAAGACAAUGGCUGAUGCAAGGGCAGAAGUUAAAGCUAUGCAAGGCUAUAUUGCAAGUGGGAAUGUAAGUGUAUGAUAACAGAUACCAGACAUAACUCCAUUCUACAGUGACAGCUAUUUCUGAGCAUACAACUUAACAAAGGUGGGCCAUGACUGUGUCAGAUCAUUGAAAAAUUGGUUUGAGCAAAGAGGCAUCAAGAAUUCCUUUGACACCUGGCAUGAGAUGAUGUAGCUUUGGUCUUGGAAUGAGUUUAUUGAUGAUCAAGGAUGGUUCAAGGCAAAGAUCACAACCUAAGGUACAAUCAGUGGAAGAAGAACAUGGAAAAUGCUGAUCAAUCCCUCAAGAUAUUGCAUAGUGGAGUUCAGAAUUAGGGCAUACAGUGUAUUGUGAAAGAAUAUAGCUUCUAUUGUACCUUAUUGUCAUUAUACAAAGAAAUGUAUACUAUUUUGUAGGGAAGUGCUGAUGGAGUAUUGUAAUGCUGGUUUUAUGAACGACGGUGAGCACAGUAUGGCACUCCAUUAGGAUUUGGCCACCGUUUCCGAAGAUCUUCCACAACACAGACUGGCAGGACCUUUCAAACAUCUUCCAUGUAACAUCCCAAUGCUUCCUUCCUGGCUAUGUAAAUAAGAUCGCGCUAUAAACCGUGGCGGGUUAGAAUUGUAUAAAAACGUCUAUUGUCGAUCUCUUGACUAAUGAGCUCGUGCUGCAGCUCGACACAUGUAGGCGCUGCAUUUUCCGUGGCUUCCUUGUCUUCGGAAACUGUCAAAGAAAGCAAAAUUAGCGCUGUAAAGGACAUCGUUCGAGAACGUUGCAAAUGGAGGGUAAAAAUAUGUUUCGGCAAACUAAAACGCCCAAGAUAAGAUUUUGUAGCUGGCAGAAAAAGGCAUACAAUUCAGAUUAAAAAGUAUGACCCAACAUAUGGCCUUUAAAUAUUUAUCCGUUUUGCGAGUUCCCGAUCAUUGGAAACAGGACAUUGAAUAUUUAUGCUUCACGGUCUGACAGUAUUAAACAAUACCCCCCUCGGAUCGGACUUGACAUUACAAAUAGAACAAUUAUUGGCAUAGACAUUGCGAAAAGUGGAUUAAUAUCAGUUUGCAAUCUUGUUGUAAAUAUGAUUCGUUGAAGAGCCAACUUACCUGGCGUGGAUUUUUUCUUUCGUGGUUUCUCUACCCGAACGAUCUCCCCGUUGUUCACGGUAAGCCAACCGUUCAGCUCCUCGAUUAAACUUUCGUCUGAUAAAAUUCUAA